GACGAACGCUGGCGGCGUGCUUAACACAUGCAAGUCGUACGGUAAGGCCCUUUCGGGGGUACACGAGUGGCGAACGGGUGAGUAACACGUGAGUAACCUGCCCACAACUUUGGGAUAACGCUAGGAAACUGGUGCUAAUACUGGAUAUGUGCUCCUGCUGCAUGGUGGGGGUUGGAAAGCUCCGGCGGUUGUGGAUGGACUCGCGGCCUAUCAGCUUGUUGGGGGGGUAGUGGCCUACCAAGGCGGCGACGGGUAGCCGGCCUGAGAGGGUGACCGGCCACAUUGGGACUGAGGUGCGGCCCAGGCUCCGACGGGAGGCAGCAGUGGGGAAGAUUGCACAAGGGGCGCAAGCCUGAUGCAGCAAGGCCGCGUGCGGGAUGACGGCCUUCGGGUUGUAAACCGCUUUCAGCAGGGACGAAGCUUUUUGUGACGGUACCUGCAGAAGAAGCACCGGCUAACUACGUG
RNAcentral lists this ribosomal RNA (465 nucleotides) under uncultured bacterium. Its description in RNAcentral is "partial 16S ribosomal RNA". It matches the Rfam family "Bacterial small subunit ribosomal RNA", at positions 28 to 507 of the family's 1533-position model. The record is from RNAcentral.